Molecule: transfer RNA, 75 nt
Filed under: Caulobacter sp.
Lineage: Bacteria; Pseudomonadati; Pseudomonadota; Alphaproteobacteria; Caulobacterales; Caulobacteraceae
Also listed under: 313 other names
Description: tRNA-Gly
Rfam family: tRNA
About the family: Transfer RNA (tRNA) molecules are approximately 80 nucleotides in length. Their secondary structure includes four short double-helical elements and three loops (D, anti-codon, and T loops).
Source: RNAcentral
GCGGGCGUAGCUCAGGGGUAGAGCACAACCUUGCCAAGGUUGGGGUCGGGCGUUCGAAUCGCCUCGCCCGCUCCA